RNAcentral lists this RNase P RNA (336 nucleotides) under Candidatus Stygibacter australis. RNAcentral's name for it is "partial RNase P RNA component class A". It matches the Rfam family "Bacterial RNase P class A", at positions 1 to 321 of the family's 367-position model. Rfam says of the family: Ribonuclease P (RNase P) is a ubiquitous endoribonuclease, found in archaea, bacteria and eukarya as well as chloroplasts and mitochondria. The record is from RNAcentral. Lineage: Bacteria; Pseudomonadati; Candidatus Cloacimonadota; Cloacimonadia (SeqCode); Cloacimonadales (SeqCode).
GGAGAGGAUCAUAUAUCUGCUUUACCGCUUGCGGUGAAGAGGAAAGUCCGAACACCACAGGGCAGGAUACUUCUUAAUUGGAAGUCUUUGCGAAGAGGAGCCAGCUCCACAGAAACAAACCGCCUAUAUGGUAAGGGUGAAAUGGCAGAGUAAGAGCCUGCCAGAUUCUGACGUGAGUCAGAAUGCUCGGAAAGCCUUAUCCGGUGCAAUGCCAAAUAGGGAAGCAGUCUUCGGACCCGGAUCUGCCCGAUCCGGUUUGCUUUCGGGUAGGCAGCUUAAGCCGGCAAUAUGUCCCCGUUGGGAAUAGCAAUAUCCGGCGUAGAGAAAUAGAUAUAG